Molecule: ribosomal RNA, 468 nt
Filed under: uncultured bacterium
Lineage: Bacteria
Description: partial 16S ribosomal RNA
Rfam family: Bacterial small subunit ribosomal RNA
Source: RNAcentral
GACGAACGCUGGCGGCGUGCUUAACACAUGCAAGUCGAACGGAAAGGCCCUGCUUUUGUGGGGUGCUCGAGUGGCGAACGGGUGAGUAACACGUGAGUAACCUGCCCUUGACUUUGGGAUAACUUCAGGAAACUGGGGCUAAUACCGGAUAGGAGCUCCUGCUGCAUGGUGGGGGCUGGAAAGUUUCGGCGGUUGGGGAUGGACUCGCGGCUUAUCAGCUUGUUGGUGGGGUAGUGGCUUACCAAGGCUUUGACGGGUAGCCGGCCUGAGAGGGUGACCGGCCACAUUGGGACUGAGAUACGGCCCAGACUCCUACGGGAGGCAGCAGUGGGGAAUAUUGCACAAUGGGCGGAAGCCUGAUGCAGCAACGCCGCGUGCGGGAUGACGGCCUUCGGGUUGUAAACCGCCUUCGCCUGUGACGAAGCGUGAGUGACGGUAAUGGGUAAAGAAGCACCGGCUAACUACGUG